RNAcentral lists this ribosomal RNA (396 nucleotides) under uncultured bacterium. RNAcentral describes it as "bacterial SSU rRNA". It matches the Rfam family "Bacterial small subunit ribosomal RNA", at positions 28 to 429 of the family's 1533-position model. The record is from RNAcentral.
GACGAACGCUGGCGGCGUGCUUAACACAUGCAAGUCGAGCGGUAAGGCCCUUUCGGGGGUACGACGAGCGGCGAACGGGUGAGUAACACGUGGGUGACCUGCCCUCAGCUCUGGGAUAAGCCUGGGAAACCGGGUCUAAUACUGGAUAUGACUCCAUGACGCAUGUUGUGGGGUGGAAAGCCUUGUGCGGCUGAGGAUGGGCCCGCGGCCUAUCAGCUUGUUGGUGGGGUGAUGGCCUACCAAGGCGACGACGGGUAGCCGGCCUGAGAGGGCGACCGGCCACACUGGGACUGAGACACGGCCCAGACUCCUACGGGAGGCAGCAGUGGGGAAUCUUGCGCAAUGGGCGAAAGCCUGACGCAGCGACGCCGCGUGAGGGAUGACGGCCUGUGUAAC